UUGUAGUAGAAUACUCUGUAACGACUCCUCCGCCAGCAGCUGUGGAGCCGGUCUCGCGCAAUGGAUGCCCACGAAUCAUGUCAGGCGGGGAACCGAGCAGCAUUAAGAGGGAUCAUCCAUGUGCCGCGAGGACGCCGGCUCCACAGCUGCGGACGGAGGAGUUGUUUUUUACAA
This 174-nucleotide signal recognition particle RNA is filed under the name Bacillota bacterium. Its description in RNAcentral is "signal recognition particle sRNA large type". The stretch from base 45 to 144 matches the Rfam family "Bacterial small signal recognition particle RNA". Rfam says of the family: The signal recognition particle (SRP) is a universally conserved ribonucleoprotein involved in the co-translational targeting of proteins to membranes. Archaeal SRP consists of a 7S RNA and homologues of the eukaryotic SRP19 and SRP54 proteins. The record is from RNAcentral. Lineage: Bacteria; Bacillati; Bacillota.